GAUGAAGAACGUAGCGAAAUGCGAUACUUGGUGUGAAUUGCAGAAUCCCGUGAACCAUCGAGUCUUUGAACGCAAGUUGCGCCUCAAGCCAUUAGGUUGAGGGCACGUCUGCCUGGGCGUCACAUAUCGUUGCCUGAUGCCAGUUUCCUCGUGAUGGGUGACUGUGCAGGGCGAAUGAUGGCUUCCCGUGAGCAUUGUUGCCUCACGGUUGGUUGAAAAUUGAGUCCUUGGUAGGGAGCGCCGUGAUAGAUGGUGGUUGAGUGACGAACGAGACCCAAUCAUGUGAGACCCCUACCGAAUUUGGCCUUCAUGACCCACAUGCGUCUUUGGAACGCUCAUGACGAGACCUCAGGUCAGGCGGGGCUACCCGCUGAAUUUAAGCAUAUCAAUAAGCGGAGGA
RNAcentral lists this unclassified non-coding RNA (400 nucleotides) under soil metagenome. RNAcentral's name for it is "partial contains 5.8S ribosomal RNA, internal transcribed spacer 2, and large subunit ribosomal RNA". The stretch from base 1 to 122 matches the Rfam family "5.8S ribosomal RNA", at positions 35 to 154 of the family's 154-position model. The record is from RNAcentral.